CUGUUCUGAGUCAAGUCCCCUUGUAUGAACACAAACAAGGUGACAUGUGCUUAGGACAGGU
Molecule: microRNA precursor, 61 nt
Organism: Astatotilapia calliptera (eastern happy)
Lineage: Eukaryota; Metazoa; Chordata; Actinopteri; Cichliformes; Cichlidae
Source: Ensembl